GACAGAGGAGCCAAGCGUUGUCCGGAUUGACUGGGCGUAAAGCGCACGCAGGCGGCUGUGCACGUGGGGUGUGAAAGGUGGCGGCUUAACUGCCACACGCCACCUCAUACGGCACGGCUCGAGCCCGUGAGAGGUCCACGGAAUUGCCGGUGUAGUGGUGAAAUGCGUAGAGAUCGGGAGGAACAUCUGUGGCGAAGGCGGCCAUCUGGACCAGCACUGACACUGAGGCACGAAAGCGUGGGGAGCAAACAGG
RNAcentral lists this ribosomal RNA (253 nucleotides) under uncultured bacterium. Its description in RNAcentral is "partial 16S ribosomal RNA". It matches the Rfam family "Bacterial small subunit ribosomal RNA", at positions 524 to 776 of the family's 1533-position model. The record is from RNAcentral.